This 24-nucleotide transfer RNA is filed under the name Cyrtodactylus aurensis. RNAcentral describes it as "partial tRNA-Cys". Lineage: Eukaryota; Metazoa; Chordata; Lepidosauria; Squamata; Gekkonidae. The record is from RNAcentral.
CCGGUGCCGGGGCUUCUCCCGUCU